AAAAAACCAAAACCUUUAAUGUAAUUUUUUGCCUUCCAAUGUAGCUUUGAUGCACUAAAACUUUUAUUCCUGAGUGAACAGUGCCCAACAGCAUCUUCUAGAGCUGUAAGCUUUUAAAAAAAGUUCCAAAAUUGCCUUUCUGCGCUUAAAAAAACCAAAAAAGCCAUUUGCUGAAUUUUUUGCACUAUGUUUGAACUUUCAUUUCUCUCUUUAUUUUUGGGUUUAUACAUUUACAAAUAUCCAGAAGCGUGCCGAACUAAACAUGGAUAGAUAUAUAGACAUCAACUUAAGUCGCCAAAUAAUUUCGUGAUCAGACACACAAACACAUUCCUGCACCACAGGUGUGUGUGCGCAUUCCCCCUGUCCUGGGAGGGCCUUUCCCCUUUAGCUACACAUGUGAUCCCGUGUUUCCAUAAAUUAGGAGGAGAGGAUGAAGGGAUGGAGGAAGACAGGUGGGGUCAAAAGGGGUAUCUUCUUACAAAACCAGAGGCAGUUGAAAAAAACCCCUCUGUUGUUGUGCACCGGUCCUUUUGUUCUAAAUAAUCAGUGAGUGCUUUGAAACCUUUUAUGGCUCCCAGUCUAAUUUACUGUCAGUGCCAGGGGGUCGUAGCUCCGCCAGCUCUGCCUGCACACAUCGCCUUGGCACGAGGUGUGCUAAAGAUAUCUACAAGAAGUAUCAGGUAUCCAGUAUUUACCAGGAAACUCUUUCACAAGAAUGAAGAUGAUUAGGAUUCAUGACUUUGAAAGUUGGCGGCUCAUGUGAUAAAUAAGUAAGCUUUAAUGUCAAAGUGAGAAGUGAUCCAAAGAAGCUAGCAUUUGCAGCUCAGGUAAAGAAAAAAAAGUAUGCAAGCUGUUUUGUAUGCCCUCUGCCUUAUUCCUAGUUUUUUUCUAAAUGACAGCGUCUCAUUCCCAUCUCCCUUUGGCCUGGAUGUGCCUGAAAACCUUACUGUAUUAUAGGCAAACAUCAUGCAGCUAGAGAAACCACCUACGUACUGAGAUUUGUGUGGUUCCUUCAAACACAAAAAACCAAAGAUCUUCACAACUGCCUGUAAUACUGUUUGGAUGUUUUCGAUGGAGAAAAUGUGUGGCAAAAAAUAUUGUUUUUGUUUUUCUUCUGCAAACAAGCCCAAGUGUGCGAGUAAAUCGUAUUUUUAUUGUGUGUUAAUUAAAGAGCACAAUGUUACUUUUUUUUAAACAAUCCCUUUCCAGCAAAAUGUUCCUUCAUCUUGCUCUCUCCAUCUCUUUGAUGCUCAAAGCAUGUACAUCUGAAACUGGUAUGUUAAUUUAAAAAAAAUUUCACCAUGUAUGUAAUGAUAUCGAUAAUGCUUCUAUACUGAGUGCUUGUAAAGUUUGCGAUA
Long non-coding RNA from Astatotilapia calliptera (eastern happy), 1358 nucleotides. The record is from Ensembl. NCBI's taxonomy places the organism in Eukaryota, Metazoa, Chordata, Actinopteri, Cichliformes, Cichlidae.